This 882-nucleotide ribosomal RNA is filed under the name uncultured Bacillota bacterium. RNAcentral describes it as "bacterial SSU rRNA". It matches the Rfam family "Bacterial small subunit ribosomal RNA", at positions 58 to 952 of the family's 1533-position model. The record is from RNAcentral. Lineage: Bacteria; Bacillati; Bacillota.
CAAGUCGAACGAUUAAGACUUCCUUCGGGAAGUGCAUAAAGUGGCGCACGGGUGAGUAACACGUAAGUAAUCUACCUUUGAGUGGGGAAUAACCCGGGGAAACCCGAGCUAAUACCGCAUAAUGCAGCGGCAUCGCGAGAUGACAGUUGUUAAAGGAGCAAUCCGCUUAAAGAGGAGCUUGCGGCAGAUUAGCUAGUUGGUAAGGUAAUGGCUUACCAAGGCUACGAUCUGUAUCCGGUCUAAGAGGACGGUCGGACACACUGACACUGAAUAACGGGUCAGACUCCUACGGGAGGCAGCAGUCGGGAAUUUUGGGCAAUGGGCGAAAGCCUGACCCAGCAACGCCGCGUGAAGGAUGAAGUAUUUCGGUAUGUAAACUUCGAAAGAAUAGGAAGAAUAAAUGACGGUACUAUUUAUAAGCUCCGGCUAACUACGUGCCAGCAGCCGCGGUAAUACGUAGGGAGCAAGCGUUGUUCGGAUUUACUGGGCGUAAAGGGCGCGUAGGCGGCGUGUCAAGUCGAUUGUGAAAUCUCCGGGCUUAACUCGGAACGGCCAAUCGAUACUGACGUGCUAGAGUGCAGAAGGGGCAAUCGGAAUUCUUGGUGUAGCGGUGAAAUGCGUAGAUAUCAAGAGGAACACCUGAGGUGAAGACGGGUUGCUGGGCUGACACUGACGCUGAUGCGCGAAAGCCAGGGGAGCAAACGGGAUUAGAUACCCCGGUAGUCCUGGCCCUAAACGAUGAAUACUUGGUGUCUGGAGUUUCAAUACUCCGGGUGCCGUCGCUAACGUUUUUAGUAUUCCGCCUGGGGAGUACGCUCGCAAGAGUGAAACUCAAAGGAAUUGACGGGGACCCGCACAAGCGGUGGAGCAUGUGGUUAAUUC